AGUAUAACCAUUUUAGUCAAACCAAAGGCAUUUUUACCCAAAGUUUUCGAUAAUGCAGGCCAAAUUGUAGGUGGUUAAAUGGAUUAACAGGACUGAUCGGUGUACAGCAGUCUAAACCGGACGGAUCAGGGUACAGCAGUCUGUCCUUGGCCUCCAAACACUAUUGUAUUUGCACACAUAUUUUUAUGUCAUUUGGGUGUUAGAUCUGUGCAAAGUAUUAAGCCUAGCUAUUGUCCUGCGGAUAGUCUGCAAAUAGAAAGGAAAACCUGCAAAACCUGUUGCAGGUCUGAUGCUCAUACAAGCAUCAGACACAUUUUUGUUUUUAGGUAAACUUAAUUGUUUGAAAUUGUUGAACUAUUCCUUAAAGCUUAGUUUUGUGAAUAACUCAGUGAUCUAGAAUUCUCUUAGAACUAGCUGGAAGUUUCAACUUAAAAUUUUUUUUAUUGUAGUGUGUCCUGAAAAUGGUGUUUCAGUAGUUACACUGAAGCUUUUGAGUAAAAGAGUAAUAUGCAGGUCAUUCCAGUUCAACUACAACGUCCUAGUUAUUCAAAACAAUCACUCUGUAUUACUUGAUAAGCAAGACGAGUUGGCAGUCAAACAUUGUGUAUACCAAGAAAUAA
Molecule: long non-coding RNA, 620 nt
Organism: Etheostoma spectabile (orangethroat darter)
Lineage: Eukaryota; Metazoa; Chordata; Actinopteri; Perciformes; Percidae
Exons: 2
Source: RefSeq, a predicted model, not a curated record